RNAcentral lists this non-coding RNA (28 nucleotides) under Bombyx mori (domestic silkworm). The record is from RNAcentral. Lineage: Eukaryota; Metazoa; Arthropoda; Insecta; Lepidoptera; Bombycidae.
UCAUUAGGAUAUGAAUUUAAAGGUCCAC